Ruditapes philippinarum (Manila clam) is the source of this 176-nucleotide long non-coding RNA. RefSeq lists it as uncharacterized. The record is from RefSeq and is a predicted model, not a curated record. The transcript has 3 exons. Lineage: Eukaryota; Metazoa; Mollusca; Bivalvia; Venerida; Veneridae.
UUCUAGGCCAGGAUGGAGAAGUGAAAAGUUUUACAGAGGUCAUGGGUGAAGCUCUGAAAUUUCACAAACCAGGUGAGAAUUACAAGACUGCUGGUUAUGUUAUCACAGACCAAACUAUGGAGUUGAUGAAGGAACAUUUAAAAGCAACUGGUGGUAAGGUGUACUCCAGAUUUCCC